RNAcentral lists this long non-coding RNA (612 nucleotides) under Zostera marina. Its description in RNAcentral is "long non-coding RNA (ZMAR_LNC000664)". Lineage: Eukaryota; Viridiplantae; Streptophyta; Magnoliopsida; Alismatales; Zosteraceae. The record is from RNAcentral.
AGAGCUUCUUCACAAAGCAGCUGCAAUUCUCAAGGAGCACAAGGCUCCCAUUGCCGAAUGCCUUGUCAAAGAAAUUGCUAAACCUGCAAAGGAUGCUGUAACUGAGGUAAAGAUAAUAUUCUUUACCAAUGACUAUAAUAUGUGUCUUUGACGUAAAAACCUGAGAUUUCUUGUCGGAUGUAUGGAUAAGGUUGUUCGCUCAGGGGAUCUUAUAUCAUACACAGCUGAGGAAGGUGUUCGUACACUAGGCCAGGGGAAGUUCUUGGUCUCUGAUAGCUUUCCAGGGAAUGAACGCACCAAAUAUUGCCUUACCUCCAAGGUUAAUAAGCAUUUUCAUGGUUUGACGCUUUACAGUAAAAUAUUUGGUUGUAAAAUGAAAUGUUUAGGUGAGCAUCUAAAAUAAAUACGUUUAAUGAUGAAAUGAUGCAUACUUGUUCGAUAAAAAAUGUAAAAAAUCAAGAUUACCUGAAAGAUGGUUGUGGUUUGUGUCUUCGUGGAAUUGCAGCGUAAACACACAAGUAACCUUUUCUCAUUUACUUAUGAAAAAUUUGUGUCUGCAGGUUCCUCUUGGAGUUAUUUUAGCAAUUCCACCUUUCAACUAUCCAGUAAACU